GUGCAUUACACAUGCGAGUCGAACGAUGAACCAGCUUCGGUGAGGGAUUAGUGGCGAACGGGUGAGUAACACGUGGGCAAUCUGCCCUGCACUCUGGGACAAGCCCUGGAAACGGGGUCUAAUACCGGAUACUGAUCCUCGCAGGCAUCUGCGAGGUUCGAAAGCUCCGGCGGUGCAGGAUGAGCCCGCGGCCUAUCAGCUAGUUGGUGAGGUAACGGCUCACCAAGGCGACGACGGGUAGCCGGCCUGAGAGGGCGACCGGCCACACUGGGACUGAGACUCGGCCCAGACUCCUACGGGAGGCAGCAGUGGAUAUUGCACAUGGGCGAAGCUUGAUGCAGCGACGGCGCGUGAGGGAUGACGGCCUUCGGGUUGUAAACUCUUUCAGCAGGGAAGAAGCGAAAGUGACGGUACCUGCAGAAGAAGCGCCGGCUAACUACGUGCCAGCAGCCGCGGUAAUACGUAGGGCGCAAGCGUUGUCCGGAAUUAUUGGGCGUAAAGAGCUCGUAGGCGGCUUGUCACGUCGGUUGUGAAAGCCCGGGGCUUAACCCCGGGUCUGCAGUCGAUACGGGCAGGCUAGAGUUCGGUAGGGGAGAUCGGAAUUCCUGGUGUAGCGGUGAAAUGCGCAGAUAUCAGGAGGAACACCGGUGGCGAAGGCGGAUCUCUGGGCCGAUACUGACGCUGAGGAGCGAAAGCGUGGGGAGCGAACAGGAUUAGAUACCCUGGUAGUCCACGCCGUAAACGGUGGGCACUAGGUGUGGGCAACAUUCCACGUUGUCCGUGCCGCAGCUAACGCAUUAAGUGCCCCGCCUGGGGAGUACGGCCGCAAGGCUAAAACUCAAAGGAAUUGACGGGGGCCCGCACAAGCGGCGGAGCAUGUGGCUUAAUUCGACGCAACGCGAAGAACCUUACCAAGGCUUGACAUACACCGGAAAACCCUGGAGACAGGGUCCCCCUUGUGGUCGGUGUACAGGUGGUGCAUGGCUGUCGUCAGCUCGUGUCGUGAGAUGUUGGGUUAAGUCCCGCAACGAGCGCACCCUUGUCCGUGUUGCCAGCCGGUCCUUGUGGUGCUUGGGACUCACGGGAGACCGGCGGGGUCAACUCGGAGAGUGGGGACGACGUUUCGUCAUGGUGCCCCUUAUGUCUUGGGCUGCACACGUGCUACAAUGGCCGGUACAAUGAGCUGCGAUACCGCGAGGUGGAGCGAAUCUCAAAAAGCCGGUCUCAGUUCGGAUUGGGGUCUGCAACUCGACCCCAUGAAGUCGGAGUCGCUAGUAAUCGCAGAUCAGCAUUGCUGCGGUGAAUACGUUCCCGGGCCUUGUACACACCGCCCGUCACGUCACGAAAGUCGGUAACACCCGAAGCCGGUGGCCCAACCCCUUGUGGGAGGGAGCUGUCGAAGGUGGACUUCACG
This 1414-nucleotide ribosomal RNA is filed under the name Streptomyces sp. KAI 90. RNAcentral describes it as "16S ribosomal RNA". It matches the Rfam family "Bacterial small subunit ribosomal RNA". Lineage: Bacteria; Bacillati; Actinomycetota; Actinomycetes; Kitasatosporales; Streptomycetaceae. The record is from RNAcentral.